UUAUUUGAGAGUUUGAUCCUAGCUCAGGAUGAACGCUAGCGGUGUGCUUUAGGCAUGCAAGUCGAGCGGUCCGAUGUUACAUCGGACAGCGGCGGACGGGUGAGUAACGCGUAGGAAUUUACCUUUUGGUGGGAGAUAGCUCCGCGAAAGCGGGGGUAAUACCGCAUGAACCAAGCUUGCUUGGUAAAGCCCUUAACUGGGCGCCGAAAGAUAAGCCUGCGUCCUAUCAGCUUGUUGGUGAGGUAAUGGCUUACCAAGGCGAUGACGGGUAGGGGGUGUGAGAGCAUGGCCCCCCACAAGGGAACUGAGACACGGUCCCUACACCUACGGGUGGCAGCAACCGGGAAUAUUGCGCAAUGGGCGAAAGCCUGACGCAGCGACACCGCGUGGAGGAUGAAGGCCUUAGGGUUGUAAACUUCUUUUAUUUUAUUGUCGAAAUAGUUUGAAUAACCACCUGCUAACUACGUGCCAGAAGCCUCGGUGAUACGUAGGGUGGAAGCGUUAUCCGGAUUUAUUGGGCGUAAAGCGUUUCGUAGGCUCCCUAUUACAUCUUAUCUUAAAACCUAGGGCUCAACCCUAGAGAUGGAUAAGACAUGGGUAGGGUUGAGAUAAUUCGGGGGUGCUGGAAUUCCUGGUGUAGGAGUGAAAUCCGUUGAUAUCAGGAGGAACGUCAAGGGCGAAGGCAGGCACCUGGGAUUAUUCUGACGCUGAUGAACGAAAGCUAGGGGAGCAAAAGGGAUUGUAAUUGGUUCCAUCUUGCAGUAAUGCGAGAUUAAAAACCAACUAUAUCGGUGAACAUCCUUGUUUUUACGGUAUAUAUUCGUAUAUAUUGUAGCUAUGAGGACAAUACCGAGGGAAGUUAACUCUUUUUUAGAUAAAACAUCAUUUAGAUUAAAUAAAAUUCAAAAAAGCGUGUUAAUUGGCACUUUGCUUGGAGAUGGAGGAGUUAGAUAUAGAGGUAGAGAGUGUCGAUUGCAUAUAAAGCAUUCGAUAAAUCAACUAUCUUUUGUCAACUACAAGAGAAAAGUGUUUUGUAAUAUAACUUUGAUGAAGGUGAGAAAGUUUAGUCAAACUAUUGGCGAAAAAGACUACAGUUUUGCCGAGUUUGUAACUUUAACUCAUUCGGAGUUUACGAAAUAUUAUCACUUGUUUUAUCCAUCUUUAAAGAAGCAAGUUCCAAAUAAUAUUAACAGUUUAUUAAUUGAUCCAUUGAGUUUAGCUGUGUGGUUUAUGGACGAUGGUUCGGCAGAUUAUGCUGGAGCGUCGCUACAAACACAUAGUUUUACAAAAAAAGAUGUGGAGAGGUUGAUGGAGUGUAUAGUUAUGAAUUUUAAUAUUGAUGUUACUAAACGACUGAAUAAAGGAAAGUGGAUUAUAUAUUUUCCGAAAGCGAGUAUGGGUAGAUUACGAGAAGUAAUUGAAAAAUACAUGCUGAAGGAAUUUAUGUAUAAGCUAAAGCCAUAUUCGGUUCGCAAGAGUUUAACCCCGUAGAGACUGUACGUUGGAAUCCGAUGAGAAAUCGGAUUAUGAUACAGUCCGAUCUAUGCAGCAAUGUAUAGAAUUAGGUAGAAAUACCUGAUCGCUCUGGUUUUUAUAACCGAGAGUUAGUACUUCGACGUAACGUUGGAGGAAAGUAACAGAAUGUAGAGACCCCUGUAGUCCUAGCCGUAAACGAUCUUCGCUAGCUAUUUGACUUUUUUAAGUUGAGUGGCGUAGGUAACCCGUUAAGCGAAGCGCCUGGGAAGUACGGCCGCAAGGCUAAAACUCAAAGGAAUUGACGGGGGAGCGCACAACCGGUGGAUCAUGUGGUUUAAUUCGAUACGAACCGUAGGACCUUACCUGGAAUUGACAUGACACUGCAAAUCUGUAGAAAUAUAGAAAGCCUUAGAGGGUGUGUCACAGCUGCUGCAUGGCUGUCGUCAGCUCGUGCCGUGGGGUGUUUCCUUAAGUGGAUUAACGAGCGCAACCCUUAUCCUGUGUUAAAUAUCCACAGGAGACUGCUCGCGUAUUACGCGAGAGGAAGGAGAGGAUGACGUCAAGUCAGCAUGGUGCUUAUGUCCAGGGCAACACACAUGAUACAAUCCUUGGUACAACGAGUCGCGAAACCGCAAGGUGGAGCCAAUCUUUAAAGCCAAGGUCAGUUGGGAUUGAGGGCUGAAAUUCGCCCUCAUGAACCUGGAAUCGGUAGUAAUCGCGGGUCAGCUAUACCGCGGUGAAUACGUUCUCGCUCCUUGUACACACCGCCCGUCAAGCCAGCAAAGUUGGGGGUACCCGAAGGCCUCUUUUAGGGGACUAAGGUAAACUCAGCGAUGAGGACUAAGUCGUAACAAGGUAGCUGUUCUGGAAGGAGCAGCUGGAUCACCUCCUUU
This 2369-nucleotide ribosomal RNA is filed under the name Patescibacteria group bacterium. RNAcentral describes it as "bacterial SSU rRNA". It matches the Rfam family "Bacterial small subunit ribosomal RNA". The record is from RNAcentral.